RNAcentral lists this transfer RNA (84 nucleotides) under Spirochaetia bacterium. RNAcentral describes it as "tRNA-Leu". It matches the Rfam family "tRNA". From Rfam's summary of the family: Transfer RNA (tRNA) molecules are approximately 80 nucleotides in length. Their secondary structure includes four short double-helical elements and three loops (D, anti-codon, and T loops). Further hydrogen bonds mediate the characteristic L-shaped molecular structure. tRNAs have two regions of fundamental functional importance: the anti-codon, which is responsible for specific mRNA codon recognition, and the 3' end, to which the tRNAs corresponding amino acid is attached (by aminoacyl-tRNA synthetases). tRNAs cope with the degeneracy of the genetic code in two manners: having more than one tRNA (with a specific anti-codon) for a particular amino acid; and 'wobble' base-pairing, i.e. permitting non-standard base-pairing at the 3rd anti-codon position. Lineage: Bacteria; Pseudomonadati; Spirochaetota; Spirochaetia. The record is from RNAcentral.
GCCCGAGUGAUGGAAUAGGUAGACAUACAGGACUUAAAAUCCUGGGGACGCAAGUCCGUGCCGGUUCAAUUCCGGCCUCGGGUA